GGCCGCGGGAAUUCGAUUCAGGCCUAACACAUGCAAGUCGAGCGGAUGAAAGUAGCUUGCUACUGAAUUCAGCGGCGGACGGGUGAGUAAUGCUUAGGAAUCUGCCCAUUAAUGGGGGACAACAGUUGGAAACGACUGCUAAUACCGCAUACGCCCUACGGGGGAAAGCAGGGGAUCUUCGGACCUUGCGUUAAUGGAUGAGCCUAAGUCGGAUUAGCUAGUUGGUGGGGUAAAGGCCUACCAAGGCGACGAUCUGUAGCGGGUCUGAGAGGAUGAUCCGCCACACUGGGACUGAGACACGGCCCAGACUCCUACGGGAGGCAGCAGUGGGGAAUAUUGGACAAUGGGCGAAAGCCUGAUCCAGCCAGGCCGCGUGUGUGAAGAAGGCCUUUUGGUUUAAAGUAAAGAAGCGAGGAGGAGGCUCCCUAGAUUAAUACUCUAGGUGAGGGACGUA
RNAcentral lists this ribosomal RNA (454 nucleotides) under uncultured bacterium. RNAcentral's name for it is "bacterial SSU rRNA". It matches the Rfam family "Bacterial small subunit ribosomal RNA", at positions 39 to 476 of the family's 1533-position model. The record is from RNAcentral.